Molecule: long non-coding RNA, 1353 nt
Filed under: Gallus gallus (chicken)
Lineage: Eukaryota; Metazoa; Chordata; Aves; Galliformes; Phasianidae
Description: lncRNA (ENSGALG00010021997.1)
Source: RNAcentral
GUCUUACUGGGGAACCCUGCCUGCUUGAAGCCUUCUAAAGAUGCAAAACUUGGGGAGUCUUCACAAGCAAUCUGGAGGAAUGAGUCUGCGGUAGAAAGGACAGUGCCUGUGAAAUUAUUACUUAAAACAGAGUCCAGAGUCUCAGGAUGUUAUCCUUGAGUGACCUGGGAAGGAGCGAACUCCUUCAUAGCUGAAGAGCAUGUGACGUUGACUGUUGUCAGGAAACUUGCAGCUGCAGGAUAACAGCCUGAAACUUUUUAAUGGGGAAGCUUCUUUUCUGUUGGCAUCCUUCUUUACUUUUAACUCAAAAGUCUCUGUAAUAUUCUGUGUUUUUAGCACUUUGGCGUUCUGAUUUCAUACUGCAAAACAGAUAAUUUGUAACUCUCCAGAUCUCACCAGUGCCUCCAAAGGAUGCGUGUUGCCUCACAGACAUUUUUUUUUUCCUCUUUUAUUUCUUUUUUCCAACACAUAAAGCUAUAAACAAGCAAUGAAGAAAUCCAUCCUUUAAAAAUAGCUGGUGACGGUCAGGGCACAUGUUUUGCUACUCAUGCAGAAAAAGGCGAGCAUCUGCUUUGAAGAGAAGGCUUCAAUGGCUCCAGCAGCAAUUUAUAGUCAUGAAGCUGUCAGCUUGCACCUGCACUGCAAGCAGCAAAGGAGAAGGGGAAGAGGAUGUCUCUUAUUUUAAACUCGGAGUUAUUCAGUAGAAAUCAUUCUGCUGGGCCUUUUUAAGAUUGUAGGGGGCCAGUUUUAAAACUGUGAUGACUGUGCUGAGAUACAGUAGCUAAUAUGUGCUCUUCUGCCAUUAUCUUGGACUGAUCUUGAGAGUGGCUGGGGUGUAGGAUAGGAAUACAACUUACUAGUAAUGACUAAUUUUUCUGUGGUGCCCUAGUCCUUCUAGCCUCAAAAAACGUGGCUCAAGUCUGUAGGAGAGAGGAAGCAAAGUAUCUCCUUGUCUCCCCCUACCUCCUUCUGCACCUUUCUUCUUCUGCCUGUCCCCGUAUUUGUGCCUGUGUCCAAGCCCCAAUGUCUGUGCCAAGAGGGAGAAGAUGUGAAGGUGGAUUUCAAUCUCCAAUAACUUUCAGUUGUAUCGGUUUCCUGACAAAGAGGAAAAUGAGCCCAAACUUUCAAACUAUGGGAGAAAAGACUUAGCAGGACAGCAGUGACUGAGGGUGGGUUUUUGCUUCUGGGAAGAACUAAGCUGAAGAGCUUCUCAGCACUGACAUUGAAUGAAAGACUAAACUCAGGUCUGCUGCAGGAGCAAUCCUUUGGUUUGGAAUCAGUCUUGAGCUGAACGUUAAUGGUAAGGCUAUCAAGAAAGAAUUGCAUGUUCUGUCAGAUAUUCAGAGAGGAUUU